This 252-nucleotide ribosomal RNA is filed under the name uncultured bacterium. RNAcentral describes it as "partial 16S ribosomal RNA". It matches the Rfam family "Bacterial small subunit ribosomal RNA", at positions 524 to 776 of the family's 1533-position model. The record is from RNAcentral.
UACGUAGGUCCCGAGCGUUGUCCGGAUUUAUUGGGCGUAAAGCGAGCGCAGGUGGUUUAUUAAGUCUGGUGUAAAAGGCAGUGGCUCAACCAUUGUAUGCAUUGGAAACUGGUAGACUUGAGUGUAGGAGAGGAGAGUGGAAUUCCAUGUGUAGCGGUGAAAUGCGUAGAUAUAUGGAGGAACACCGGUGGCGAAAGCGGCUCUCUGGGCCGUCACUGACGCUGAGGCGCGAAAGCUGGGGGAGCGAACAGG